GACCCGGUAGCUCAGUUGGAUAGAGCAACGGCCUUCUAAGCCGUCGGUCGGGGGUUCGAAUCCCUUCCGGGUCGCCA
RNAcentral lists this transfer RNA (77 nucleotides) under Candidatus Izemoplasmatales bacterium. RNAcentral describes it as "tRNA-Arg". It matches the Rfam family "tRNA". From Rfam's summary of the family: Transfer RNA (tRNA) molecules are approximately 80 nucleotides in length. Their secondary structure includes four short double-helical elements and three loops (D, anti-codon, and T loops). Lineage: Bacteria; Bacillati; Mycoplasmatota; Mollicutes; Candidatus Izemoplasmatales. The record is from RNAcentral.